This 684-nucleotide long non-coding RNA is filed under the name Equus asinus (donkey). RNAcentral describes it as "lncRNA (ENSEASG00005023678.1)". Lineage: Eukaryota; Metazoa; Chordata; Mammalia; Perissodactyla; Equidae. The record is from RNAcentral.
GAGAAGUGUAACUGCCACCCCAGCCCCCACCCCAUUCCAACUGACGACAGAGUGAGUCUGAGUUUAAAGAUGGUAAGAGAAUGAGCUUGGUCCCUAAGGAAAGGAGAAGUGAAUCUACUAAAUAUCUGCUGAAAAUAUUUCUGCUGCUGUGCCUGGGCUGUCCUUGCAGUAAAUAUAUCACCAGGGCGCGUAAUCUUGUUCUGUGACCUCCUGCAAAUUCCAGGGAUGUGCAGAAAUCAUCUGCUCCAAGUUCUAAGACUUCUCCAGUUCACACUGAAAAGCAGGCACCAUGGAGUGAGACCGGUUCCAUUAUCCAGUGUAAGAACACCAAGUAACUCUACAGAAGUGGUACAGCUAGCCCAGCUCAGUGUCAAACGACUCUAGAAGAGAUGCUUCCAAAGCAGGAUGAUCGAGAAGUUUCACUCCUCAUGCCAAUAAAGGGCAGUGGCCACCUGGAUUGCUGUUUUGAGAAGGAUCCCGAAGCUGAAGCUGCAAACACAAUAGGUGGGGCAGGCUUGUGACUGGUCCAUCAUGUCUGUUAUGGGCACAGGAGUGGAGACUGGCACCACAGAGAGCCUGUUUUAUCAUUCUUUUCCUAGAAGUUCUCUUGUAAUUAAUGCCUUGCUGUUGGUCACCAGAACAGCGUCCCACUGAGUUACCUACAGUCUGGGCCUUGUACCGAGC